Pelobates cultripes (western spadefoot toad) is the source of this 223-nucleotide non-coding RNA. The record is from the annotation of a GenBank genome assembly. Lineage: Eukaryota; Metazoa; Chordata; Amphibia; Anura; Pelobatidae.
CUUCCCAUAUGGUCCCUCACCUCUGACUCCUAUUCUUAUACCUGUGCCUGUUAGUGCCCACACAAUGGAAGACACACUUAACACUAGUGAGCUUCAGGCCAUGAUCAACGCGGCGGUGGCUGCGUCUUUAGAAAAGGCGUUAUCAAAGGCAACACCUGCAACCACUGAAUCUACCACGUUGGCUAGUAAGCAACGCCAGAACAAUGAGGACUCAGACGAGUCG